CUACGGGUCGCUCCAGUGGGGAAUAUUGCGCAAUGGGGGAAACCCUGACGCAGCGACACCAUGUGAAGGAUGAAGGCCCUAGGGUUGUAAACUUCUGUCUAGAGGAAAGAAUCAAUGACGGUACCUCUAAAGAAAGCACCGGCUAACUCCGUGCCAGCAGCCGCGGUAAUACGGAGGGUGCAAGCAUUAUUCGGAAUUACUAGGUGUAAAGGGCGUGUGGGCGGAAUAAUAAGUUAGAUGUGAAAUCUUGUAGCUCAACUAUAAGCCUGCAUCUAAAACUGUUAAUCUAGAGUAUGGAAGGGGGAAACGGAAUUUCUGGUGUAGCGGUGGAAUGUGUUGAUACCAGAAGGAACACCGAUGGCGAAAGCGGUUUCCUGGUCCAAUACUGACACUAAGGCGCGAAAGCUAGGGGAGCAAACAGGAUUAGAUACCCUCGUAGUC
RNAcentral lists this ribosomal RNA (441 nucleotides) under uncultured bacterium. RNAcentral's name for it is "partial 16S ribosomal RNA". It matches the Rfam family "Bacterial small subunit ribosomal RNA", at positions 339 to 795 of the family's 1533-position model. The record is from RNAcentral.